UUCUAUCUUUUAUGAGUAAUUUUGUUUCUUAUCUAUCAAAUGUUAGGAUUAUGAGGAUCUCACAAUAAUAAACGUGGUGCUAGUGUAACACUGGAAAACAUAUUGAGUUGCUUUCCUUUAUACCAUACUGUCUCAUUUUAAAUUUGUUGUUAUUAUUCUAUUUUCUUUUUUUCUUUUUCAUUUUCUAGUAAUUAUUCUAUCUUAUUUUUUUAUUUUUCAUUUUCUACUUAUAAUUAGUAUUUUAGCAUAUUUUUUAAUUUGUAUAACUUAUGUUAAUUGUUUAAUUAUCAGAAUAUAGAAGAUGACAUUUUAUGUUCUUAAGGAUAUAAGUAUAUAUUUAAUUAAUUUUGAUAUUCAAUACAUAUCUUUCUAAACUAGUUAAUAUCAAGGUUUGUUACUCAUUACAUGUUUGAUUGAUUUAUAUAAUUGAGGAUGUACUUAUUAGAAAUAUUUAGCUUACAUUAUUUAAUAGAAAUCUCUGGUUCAUAUUCACUUUAUGAUUGUAUAAACAAACUUAUUAGAAAUAUUUAGCUUACAUUAUUUAAUAGAAAUCUCUGGUUCAUAUUCACUUUAUGAUUGUAUAAACAAAAUACAAAGGGUAGAAAAAUACGUACUGCUGAAAAAUUGUCAUAUUUUUUUUUCUAUCUUUUAUGAGUAAUUUUCCUUCUUUUCUAUCAAAUGUACAGAUCAAGUGAUUUCUGAUAUAGGUUGAUCUUUUGAAGGUUACACAUCUCUACCUUUUUUUUUUGUCACCCUAUUCAUCUGUGUUUCCUCUAAUUUUCAAUUUUAUUCUUGCAACACCAAUGAUUAUGAUAGGGUUUUUCGUAUUGUUUUUAUGAGAUUGAGAUGUUUGUUAGGAUUAUGAGGAUCUCACAAUAAUACAGGUGGUGCUAAUGUAACAUUGGAAAAAUGAUUGAGUUGGUUUCCUUUGAUACAUACAGUCUCAUUUUCAUUUUCUUGUAAUUAUUCUAUUUUCCUUUUUUCUUUUUCAUUUUCUUGUAAUUAUUCUUUUUUCUUUUUCAUUUUCUACUUAUAAUUAGUAUUUUAGCAUAUUUUUUAAUCUGUAUAACUUAUGUUAAAUGUUUAAUUAUCAGAAUAUAGAAGAUGACAUUUUAUGUUCUUAAGGAUAUAAGUAUAUAUUUAAUUAAUUUUGAUGUUCAAUACAUAUCUUUCUAAACUAUUUAAUGUCAAUGUUUGUUACUCAUUACAUGUUUGAUUGAUUUAUAUAAUUGAGGAUGUACUUAAUAGAAAUAUUUAGCUUACAUUAUUUAAUAGAAAUCUCUGGUUCAUAAUCACUUUAUGAUUGUAUAAACAAAAUACAAAGGGUAAAAAAAUACGUACUGCUGAAAAAUUGUCAUAUUUUCUUUUUUUUCUAUCUUUUAUGAGUAAUUUUCAUUCUUAUCUAUCAAAUGUACAGAUCAAGUGAUUUCUGAUAUAGGUUGAUCUUUUGAAGGUUACACAUCUCUACCUUUUUUAUUUUGUCACCCUAUUCAUUUGUGUUUCCUCUUAUUUUCAAUUUUAUUCUUGCGUCACCAAUGAUUAUGAUAGGGUUUUUCGUAUUGUUUUGAUGAGAUUGAGAUGUUUGUUAGGAUUAUGAGGAUCUCACAAUAAUACAGGUGGUGCUAAUGUAACACUGGAAAAAUGAUUGAGUUGGUUUCCUUUAAUACAUACAGUCUCAUUUUCAUUUUCUUGUAAUUAUUCUAUUUUCCUUUUUUCUUUUUCAUUUUCUUGUAAUUAUUCUUAUUUCUUUUUUCUUUUUCAUUUUCUACUUAUAAUUAGUAUUUUAGACUAUUUUUUUAUCUGUGUAACUUAUGUUAAUUGUUUAAUUAAUAGAAUAUAGAAGAUGACAUUUAUUGUUCUUAAGGAUAUAAGUAUAUAUUUAAUUAAUUUUGAUGUUUAAUACAUAUCUUUCUAAACUAUUUAAUGUCAAUGUUUGUUACUCAUUACAUGUUUGAUUGAUUUAUAUAAUUGAGGAUGUACUUAUAACAAAUACUUAGCUGAAAUUACUUAAUAGAAAUCUCUGGUUCAUAAUAAGUUUAAGAUUGUAUAAACAAAAUACAAAGGGUAAAAAAAUACGUACAUCUGAAAAAUUGUCAUAUUUUCCUUUUUAUUCUAUCAUUUAUGAGUAAUUUUCUUUCUUAUCUAUCAAAUGUACGGAUCAAGUGAUUUCUAAUAUAGGUUAAUCUUUUGAAGGUUAUACAUCUCUCAAUCGUUUAUUUUGUCACUCUAUUCAUUUGUGUUUCCUGUUAUUUCCAAUUUUAUUCUUGCAUCACCAAUGAUUAUGAUAGGGUUUUUCGUAUUGUUUUGAUGAGAUUGAGAUUUUUGUUAGGAUAUACUCCUAGAGUGUUAUUAUUUGCACCACGAUCACAUUGUGACCUUUACUGAUUGAGUUGGUUUCCUUUAUACCAUACAGUCUCAUUAUAAGCUUGUUGUUAUUAUUCUUUUUUCUUUUUUUCUUUUUCAUUUUCUAGUAAUUAAUUUAUCUUAUUUUUUUCUUUUUCAUUUUCUACUUAUAAUUAGUAUUUUAGCAUAUUUUUUAAUUUGUAUAAGUUAUGUUAAUUGUUUAAUUAUCAGAAUAUAGAAGAUGACAUUUUACGGUCCUAAGGAUAUAAGUAUAUAUUUAAUUAAUUUUGAUGUUCAAAACAUAUCUUUCUAAACUAAUUAAUGUCAAGGUUUAUUACUCAUUACAUGUUUGAUUGAUUUAUAUAAUCGAGGAUGUACUUAUUAGCAAUAUUUAGCUUACAUUAUUUAAUAGAAAUUUCUGGUUCAUAUUCACUUUAUGAUUGUAUAAACAAAAUACAAAGGGUAAAAAAAUACGUACUGCUGAAAAAUUGUCAUAUUUUCUUUUUUUUUCUAUCUUUUAUGAGUAAUUUUCCUUCUUAUCUAUCAAAUGUAUAGAUCAAGUGAUUUCUGAUAUAGGUUGAUCUUUUGAAGGUCACACAUCUCUACCUUUUUUAUUUUGACACCCUAUUCAUCUGUGUUUCCUCUUAUUUGCAAUUUUAUUCUUGCAACACCAAUGAUUAUGACAGGGUUUUUCGUAUUGUUUUUAUGAGAUUGAGAUGUUAGUUAGGAUUAUGAGGAUCUCACAAUAAUACAGGUGGUGCUAAUGUAACACUGGAAAAACGAUUGAGUUGGUUUCCUUUAAUACAUACAGUCUCAUUUUCAUUUUCUUGUAAUUAUUCUAUUUUCCUUUUUUCUUUUUCUUUUUCUUGUAAUUAUUCUUUUUUCUUUUUUUCUUUUUCAUUUUCUAAUUAUAAUUAUUAUUUUAGCAUAUUUUUUAAUUUGUGUAACUUAUCUUAAUUGUUUAAUUAUCAGAAUAUAGAAGAUGACAUUUUAUGUUCUUAAGGAUAUAAGUAUAUAUUUAAUUAAUUUUGAUGUUCAAUACAUAUCUCUCUAAACUAUUUAAUGUCAAUGUUUUUUACUCAUUACAUGUUUGAUUGAUUUAUAUGAAUGGGGAUGUACUUAAUGAAAAUAUUUUGCUUACAUUAUUUAAUAGAAAUCUUUGGUUCAUAUUCACUUUAUGAUUGUAUAAACAAAAUACCAAGGGUAAAAAAAUACGUACUGCUGAAAAAUUGUCAAAUUAUCUUUUUUUUCUAUCUUUUAUGAGUAUUUUUCAUUCUUAUCUAUCAAAUGUACAGAUCAUGUGAUUUCUGAUAUAGGUUGUUCUUUUGAAGGUUACACAUCUCUACCUUUUUUAUUUUGUCACCCUAUUCAUCUGUGUUUCCUCUUAUUUUCAAUUUUAUUCUUGCGUCACCAAUGAUUAUGAUAGGGUUUUUCGUAUUGUUUUGAUGAGAUUGAGAUGUUUGUUAGGAUUAUGAGGAUCUCACAAUAAUACAGGUGGUGCUAAUGUAACACUGGAANCAAUUAACAUAAGUUACACAGAUUAAAAAUAUGCUAAAAUACUAAUUAUAAGUGGAAAAUGAAAAAGAAAAGAAAAAAGAAAUAAUUACAAGAAAUGAAAAAGAAAAAAGGAAAAUAGAAUAAUUACAAGAAAAUGAAAAUGGAGACUGUAUGUAUUAAAGGAAACCAACUCAAUCAUUUUUCCAGUGUACAUUAGCACCACCUGUAUUAUUUGUGAGAUCCUCAUAAUCCUAACAAAACAUCUCAAUCUCAUCAAAACAAUACGAAAAACCCUUCAUAAUCAUUGGUGUGCAAGAAUAAAAUUGAAAAUAAGAGGAAACACAGAAAUGAAUAGGGUGACAAAAUUAAAAAAGGUAGAGAUGUGUGAACCUUCAAAAGAUCAACCUAUAUCAGAAAUCACUUGAUCUGUAAAUUGAUAGAUAAGAAGAAAAUUACUCAUAAAAUAGAAAAAAAAGAAAAUAUGACAAUUUUUCAGCAGUACGGAUUUUUUUACCCUUUGUAUUUUGUUAUACAAUCAUAAAUGAAUAUGAACAGAGAUUUCUAUUAAAUAAUGUAAGCUAAAUAUUUCUAAUAAGUACAUCCUCAAUUAUAUAAAUCAAUCAAACGUAAUGAGUAACAAACCUUGACAUUAAGUGUUAGAAGAUAUGUAUGAACAUCAAAAUUAAUUAAAUAUAUACUUAUUACCGUAAGAACAUAAAAUGUCAUCUUCUAUAUUUGAUAAUUAAACAAUUAACAUAAUUAUACAGAUAAAAAUAUGCUAAAAUACUAAUUAUAAUGAGAAAAUGAAAAAGAAAAAAUAAAAUAAAGUAAUUACAAGACCAAAAGAAAAGAAAAAAAAGAAAAAGAAUAAUACAACAAAUUAAAUGAGACGUAUGGUAUAAAGGAAACCAACUCAAUCAAGUUUUCCAGUGUUACACUAGCACCACGUUAUUAUUUUGAGGAUCCUCAUAAUCCUAACAAAAUCUCAAUCUCAUCAAAACAAUACGAAAAAAAACCUAUCAUAAUCAUUGGUGAUGCAAGAAUAAAAUUGAAAAUAAACAGGAAACACAAAUGAAUAGAGUGACAAAAUAAAACAAAGUAGAGAUGUAAACCUUCAAAGAUGAAACUAUAUAGAAAUCACUUUAAUCCGUUACAUUUGAUAGAUAAGAAAAAUACUCAUAAAAGAUAGAAAAAAAAGGAAAAUAUGACAAUUUUUCAGCAGUACAUAUUUUUUUACCCUUUGUAUUUGUUUAUACAAUCUAAACUGAUUGAUGAACCAGAGAUUUCUAUUAAGUUGUAAGCUAAAUAUUUGUAUUAAGUACAUCCUCAAUUAUAUAAUCAUUCAAACAGUAAUGAGUAACAAAACAUUGACAUUAAAUAGUUUAGAAAGAUAUGUAUUGAACAUCAAAUUAAUAUAAUAUAUUACUUAUAUCCUUAAGAACAUAAAAUGUCAUCUUCUAUAUUCGAUAAUUAAACAAUUAACAUAAGUUACACGAAUUAAAAAAUAUGCUAAAAUACUAAUUAAAGUAGAAAUGAAAAAGAAGAAGAAAAAGAAUAAUUACAAGAAAAUGAAAAAAAGAAAAAAGGAAAAUAGAAUAAUUACAAGAAAAUGAAAAUGAGACUGUAUGUAUUAAAGGAAACCAACUCAAUCAUUUUUCAGUGUUACAUUAGCACCACCUGUAUUAUUGUGAGAUCCUCAUAAUCCUAAACAACAUCUCAAUCUCAUCAAAAACAAUACGAAAAACCCUAUCAUAAUCAUUGGUGACGCAAGAAUAAAAUUGAAAUAAGAGGAAACACAAAUGAAUAGGGUGACAAAUAAAAAAGGUAGAGAUGUGUAACCUUCAAAAGAUCAACCAUAUCAGAAAUCACUUGAUCUGUACAUUUGAUAGAUAAGAAUGAAAAUUACUCAUAAAAAUAGAAAAAAAGAAAAUAUGACAAUUUUUCAGCAGUAACGUAUUUUUUUACCCUUUGUAUUUUGUUUAUACAAUCAUAAAUGAAUAUGAACCAGAAUUCAUUAAAUAAUGUAAGCUAAAUAUUUUCUAAUAAGUACAUCCUCAUUAUAUAAAUCAAUCAAACUGUAAUGAGUAACAAACCUUGACAUUUAAUGUUUAGAAAGAUAUGUAUUGAACACAAAUAAUUAAAUUAUACUUAUAACCUUAAGAACAUAAAAUGUCAUCUUCUAUAUUUGAUAAUUAAACAAUUAACAUAAGUUAUACAGAAUUAAAAAUAUGCUAAAUACUAAUUAUAAUAGAAAUGAAAAAAAAGAAAAAAAUAAGAAUAAUUACAAGAAAAUGAAAAGAAAAAAAGAAAUAGAAUAAUAACAACAAAUUUAAAUGAGACCGUUAUGGUAUAAAGGAAACCACUCAAUAGUUUCCAGUGUUACACUAGCACCACGUUAUUAUUUUGAGACCUCAUAAUCCUAACAAAAAAUCUCAUCUCAUCAAAACAAUACGAAAAACCCUAUCAUAAUCAUGGUGGAUGCAAGAAUAAAAAUGAAAUAACAGGAAACACAAAUAAUAGAGUGACAAAAUAAACAAGUUAGAGAUGUAUAACCUUCAAAGAUAACCUAUAUCAGAAAUCACUUGAUCUGUACAUUGAUAGAUAAGAAAGAAAAUUACUCAUAAAAGAUAGAAAAAAAGAAAAAAUAUGACAAAUUUUCAGCAUACGUAUUUUUUUACCCUUUGUAUGUUUGUUUAUACAAUCAUAAAUUGAUAUGAACAGAGAUUUCUAUUAAGAAUGUAAGCAAAUAUUGUUUAUAAGUACAUCCUCAAUUAUAUAAAUCAAUCAACAUGUAAUGAGUAACAAACAUUGACAAUAAAUAGUUUAGAAAGAUAUGUAUUGAACAUCAAAAUUAAUUAAAUAUAUACUUAUAUCCUUAGAACAUAAAAUGUCAUCUUCUAUAUUUUGAUAAUUAAACAAUUAACAUAAGUUCAUACAGAUUAAAAAAUAUGCUAAAUACUAAUUAUAAUAGAAAAUGAAAAAAAAAAGAAAAAGAAUAAUUAAAAAAAUGAAAAAGAAAAAAGAAAAUAGAAUAAAACAAAAAUGAAAUGAGACCGUAUGUAUUAAAGGAAACCACUCAAUAUUUUCCAGUGUUACAUAGCACCCACGUUUAUUAUUGUGAGAUCCUCAUAAUCCUAACAAAAAUCUCAAUCUCAUCAAAACAAUACGAAAAACCCUAUCAUAAUCAUUGGUGAGCAAGAAUAAAUAAAAUAAAGGAAACACAAAUGAAUAGGUGACAAAAUAAAACAAGUUUAGAGAUGUUAACCUUCAAAGUAACCUAUAUCAGAAAUCACUAUUCCGUACAUUGAGUAGAUAAGAAAAAAUUACUCAUAAAAGAUAGAAAAAAAAGAAAAUAUGACAAUUUUCAGCAAGUACAUAUUUUUUUACCCUUUGUAUUUUGUUUAUACAAUCAAUAAUGAUUAUGAACCAAGAUUUCUAUUUAAUAAUGAAGCUAAAUAUUUUAUUAAGUACAUCCUCAUUAUAUAAAUCAAUCAAACAUGUAAUGAGUAACAAACAUUGACAUUAAAUAGUUUAGAAAGAUAUGUAUUGAACAUCAAAAUUAAUUAAAUAUAUACUUAUAUCCUUAGAACAUAAAAUGUCAUCUUUCUAUAUUCUGAUAAUAAACAAUUAACAUAAGUUACACAGAUUAAAAAUAUGCUAAAAUACUAAUUAUAAGUUAGAAAUGAAAAAGAAAAGAAAAAGAAUAAUUACAAGAAAAUGAAAAAGAAAAAAGAAAAUAGAAUAAUUACAAGAAAAUGAAAAUGAGACUGUAUGUAUUAAAGGAACCAACUCAAUCAUUUUUCCAUGUACAUUACCACCUGUAUUAUUGUGAGAUCCUCAUAAUCUACAAAAACAUCUCAAUCUCAUCAAAACAUACGAAAAAACCCGUAUCAUAAUCAUUGGUGAGCAAGAAUAAAAUUGAAAAAUAAGAGGAAACACAGAUGAAUAGGGUGCACAAAAUAAAAAAGUAGAGAUGUUGUAACCUUCAAAAGAUCAAACCUAUAUCAGAAAUCACUUUAUCGUACAUUUGAUAGAUUAAGAAGAAAAUUACUCAUAUAAAAAUAGAAAAAAAGAAAAUAUGACAAUUUUUCAGCAGUACUGUAUUUUUUUACCCUUUGUAUUUUGUUUAUACAAUCAUAAAGUGAAUAUGAACCAGAGAUUUCUAUUAAAGUAAUGUAAGCUAAAUAUUUCUAAUAAGUACAUCCUCAAUUAUAUAAACAAUCAAACGUGUAAUGAGUAAAAAACCUUGACAUUAAUUAGUUUAGAAAGAUAUGUAUUGAACAUCAAAAAUUAAUUAAUAUAUACUUAUCCUUAAGAACUAAAAUGUCAUCUUCUAUAUUCUGAUAAUUAACAAUUAACAUAGUUAUAGCAAUAAAAAAAUAUGCUAAAUACUAAUUAUAAUAGAAAAUGAAAAAGAAAAAUAAAAUACAUAAUACAAGAAAAUGAAAAAGAAAAAAAAAAAAUGAAUAAUAACAACAAAUUGUAAAAUGAGACCGUAUGGUAUAAAGGAAACCAACUCAAUAGUUUUCCAGUGUUACACUUAGCACCACGUUUAUUAUUGUGAGAUCCUCAUAAUCCUAACAAAAAUCUCAAUCUCAUCAAAACAAUACGAAAACCCUAUCAUAAUCAUUGGUGAUGCAGAAUAAAUUGAAAAUAACAGGAAACACAAAUGAAUAGAGUGACAAAAUAAACAGUUGUGAGAUGGUAUAACCUUCAAAAAGAUACCUAUAUCAGAAAUCACUUAAUCCGUUCAUUUGAUAGAUAAGAAAAAAUUACUCAUAAAAGAUAGAAAAAAAGGAAAAUAUUGACAUUUUCAGCAUACGUAUUUUUUUACCCUUGUAUUUUUUUAUACAAUCAUAAACUUAUUAUGAACCAGAGAUUUCUAUUAAGUAUGUAGCUAAAUAUUGUAUUAAGUACAUCCUCAAUUAUUAUAAAUCAAUCAAACAUGUAAUGAGUAACAAACAUGACAUUUAAUAGUUUAGAAAGAUAUGUAUUGAACAUCAAAAUUAAUUAAAUAUAUACUUAUAUCCUUAAGAACAUAAAAUGUCAUCUUCUAUAUCUGAUAAUAAACAAUUACAUAAGUUACACAGAUAAAAAAUAUGCUAAAAUACUAAUUAUAAGUAGAAAAUGAAAAAAAAAGAAAAAAGAAUAAUACAAGAAAUGAAAAAGAAAAAGGAAAAAUAGAAUAAUUACAAGAAAAUGAAAAUGAGACUGUAUGUAUUAAAGGAAACCAACUCAAUCAUUUUUCCAGUGUUACAUUAGCACCACCUGUAUUAUUGUGAGAUCUCAUAAUCCUAACAAACAUCUCAAUCUCAUCAAAACAAUACGAAAAACCCUAUCAUAAUCAUUGGUGACGCAAGAAUAAAAUUGAAAAUAAGAGGAAACACAAUGAAUAGGGUGACAAAAUAAAAAAGGUAGAGAUGUGUAACCUUCAAAGAUCAACCUAUAUCAGAAAUCACUUGAUCUGUACAUUUGAUAGAUAAGAAUGAAAAUUACUCAUAAAAAUAGAAAAAAAGAAAAUAUGACAAUUUUCAGCAGUACGUAUUUUUUUACCCUUUGUAUUUGUUUAUAAAUCAUAAAGUGAAUAUGAACCAGAGGAUUCUAUUAAUAAUGUAAGCUAAAUAUUUCUAAUAAGUACAUCUCAUUAUAUAAAUCAAUCAAACUGUUAAUGAGUAAAAACCUUGACAUUAAUUAGUUUAGAAGAGUAUGUAUUGAACAUCAAAAUUAAUUAAAUAUAUACUUAUACCUUAGAACAUAAAAUGUCAUCUUCUAUAUUGCUGAUAAUUAAACAUUAACAUAAGUUAUACAGAUUAAAAAAAUAUGCUAAAAUAACUAAUUAUACUAGAAAAUGAAAAAAAAAAAAAAAUAGAAUAAUUCAACAAAAUGAAAAGAAAAAAGAAAAAUAGAAAUAAUCAACAAAUUAAAUGAGACCGUAUGGUAUAAAGCGGAAAAAACCAGCUUCAAUAAGUUUUCCAGUGUUACACUAGCACCACGUUUAUUUUAUGUUCUUAAGGAUAUAAGUAUAUAUUUAAUUAAUUUUGAUGUUUAAUACAUAUCUUUCUAAACUAUUUAAUGUCAAUGUUUGUUACUCAUUACAUGUUUGAUUGAUUUAUAUAAUUGAGGAUGUACUUAUAACAAAUAUUUAGCUGAAAUUACUUAAUAGAAAUCUCUGGUUCAUAAUAAGUUUAAGAUUGUAUAAACAAAAUACAAAGGGUAAAAAAAUACGUACAUCUGAAAAAUUGUCAUAUUUUCCUUUUUAUCUUAUCUUUUAUGAGUAAUUUUAUUUCUUAUCUAUCAAAUGUACGGAUCAAGUGAUUUCUAAUAUAGGUUAAUCUUUUGAAGGUUAUACAUCUCUCAAUCGUUUAUUUUGUCACUCUAUUCAUUUGUGUUUCCUGUUAUUUUCAAUUUUAUUCUUGCAUCACCAAUGAUUAUGAUAGGGUUUUUCGUAUUGUUUUGAUGAGAUUGAGAUUUUUGUUAGGUCUAUGAGGAUCUCACAAUAAUAAACGUGGUGCUAGUGUAACACUGAUUUUCAAUUUUAUUCUUGCAUCACCAAUGAUUAUGAUAGGGUUUUUCGUAUUGUUUUGAUGAGAUUGAGAUUUUUGUUAGGUCUAUGAGGAUCUCACAAUAAUAAACGUGGUGCUAGUGUAACACUGAAAAACUGAUUGAGUUGGUUUCCUUUAUACCAUACAGUCUCAUUAUAAGGGUGUUGUUAUUAUUCUAUUUUCCUUUUUUCUUUUUCAUUUUCUUGUAAUUAAUUUAUCUUAUUUUUUUCUUUUUCAUUUUCUACUUAUAAUUAGUAUUUUAGCAUAUUUUUUAAUUUGUAUAAGUUAUGUUAAUUGUUUAAUUAUCAGAAUAUAGAAGAUGACAUUUUACGGUCCUAAGGAUAUAGGUAUAUAUUUAAUUAAUUUUGAUGUUCAAUACAUAUCUUUCUAAACUAAUUAAUGUCAAGGUUUGUUACUCAUUACAUGUUUGAUUGAUUUAUAUAAUUGAGGAUGUACUUAUUAGCAAUAUUUAGCUUACAUUAUUUAAUAGAAAUCUCUGGUUCAUAUUCACUUUAUGAUUGUAUAAACAAAAUACAAAGGGUAAAAAAAUACGUACUGCUGAAAAAUUGUCAUAUUUUCUUUUUUUUUCUAUCUUUUAUGAGUAAUUUUCCUUCUUAUCUAUCAAAUGUACAGAUCAAGUGAUUUCUGAUAUAGGUUGAUCUUUUGAAGGUCACACAUCUCUACCUUUUUUAUUUUGUCACCCUAUUCAUCUGUGUUUCCUCUUAUUUUCAAUUUUAUUCUUGCAACACCAAUGAUUAUGACAGGGUUUUUCGUAUUGUUUUUAUGAGAUUGAGAUGUUUGUUAGGAUUAUGAGGAUCUCACAAUAAUACAGGUGGUGCUAAUGUAACAUUGGAAAAAUGAUUGAGUUGGUUUCCUUUAAUACAUACAGUCUCAUUUUCAUUUUCUUGUACGUAUUCUAUUUUCCUUUUUUCUUUUUCUUUUUCUUGUAAUUAUUCUUUUUUCUUUUUUCUUUUUCAUUUUCUAAUUAUAAUUAUUAUUUUAGCAUAUUUUUUAAUCUGUGUAACUUAUGUUAAUUGUUUAAUUAUCAGAAUAUAGAAGACGACAUUUUAUGUUCUUAAGGAUAUAAGUAUAUAUUUAAUUAAUUUUGAUGUUCAAUACAUAUCUUUCUAAACUAUUUAAUGUCAAUGUUUUUUACUCAUUACAUGUUUGAUUGAUUUAUAUAAAUGGGGAUGUACUUAAUGAAAAUAUUUAGCUUACAUUAUUUAAUAGAAAUCUUUGGUUCAUAUUCACUUUAUGAUUGUAUAAACAAAAUACCAAGGGUAAAAAAAUACGUAAUGCUGAAAAAUUGUCAUAUUAUCUUUUUUUUUCUAUCUUUUAUGAGUAUUUUUCAUUCUUAUCUAUCAAAUGUACAGAUCAUGUGAUUUCUGAUAUAGGUUGUUCUUUUGAAGGUUACACAUCUCUACCUCUUUUAUUUUGUCACCUUAUUCAUCUGUGUUUCCUCCUAUUUUCAAUUUUAUUCUUGCGUCACCAAUGAUUAUGAUAGGGUUUUUCGUAUUGUUUUGAUGAGAUUGAGAUGUUUGUUAGGAUUAUGAGGAUCUCACAAUAAUACAGGUGGUGCUAAUGUAACACAUUUUCGUAUUGUUUUGAUGAGAUUGAGAUGUUUGUUAGGAUUAUGAGGAUCUCACAAUAAUACAGGUGGUGCUAAUGUAACACUGGAAAAAUGAUUGAGUUGGUUUCCUUUAAUACAUACAGUCU
RNAcentral lists this long non-coding RNA (12098 nucleotides) under Lathyrus oleraceus (garden pea). RNAcentral's name for it is "Pisum sativum (pea) long non-coding RNA (PSAT_LNC039867)". Lineage: Eukaryota; Viridiplantae; Streptophyta; Magnoliopsida; Fabales; Fabaceae. The record is from RNAcentral.